UGUCCAAUGCGGGGAUCGAACCCGGGUCGUAGUGGUCGUAAACCAAACGGUUUAACCAGCCUAAGCCAAAUAAAU
Cordylochernes scorpioides is the source of this 75-nucleotide non-coding RNA. The record is from the annotation of a GenBank genome assembly. NCBI's taxonomy places the organism in Eukaryota, Metazoa, Arthropoda, Arachnida, Pseudoscorpiones, Chernetidae.